UCACAGAUUUGUGUGCCGCCAUGACAAAGCCGACGGCUAUCGCUAAUUCCGCCUCCCCCAUGUCUGUGACCUGUAGGUUUCCGCUCCGGGAGGAGUUCGCAGAUAGCUUGGAACACUCGCAUUCGGUUCCUCUGGUGAUGCUACCACGGCGUGACGCCACCCCUGGUAUGACGGUGGAUUCAAACGCUGGUUCUGGGUGUGGAUGACAUGUUGGAGGCGAAAUCACCUUUGGGUGGGGGGGUGGACGCACGCUGGCGACGGCAAUCUUCUCCAACAAGGUCUACUCAAUCGACAGGCAGGGUCAACCUCGCGGUGUCGGGCUGGACAAAGAGGUUACGUCUUGGGAGUGCAUCCCCGGACAGAUCGCCCAUGUCCAUCUAUGACAAGUGUGUUGGAGCACUUGAUAUGUAAUUUUGCCCAGGAGCCGAUUAAGAGUGUAGUGCAGCCAUGAACUUGGACUGAGCUUCGACCUGGUUGUGGAGGCGUACAACUUCUACAACUUGUAUUCAUGGGAAAUUGGGCUUGGGGCAAGAUGGUGGAGAUGGACCAGCUCCAACGAGGAGCUUGGCUGGGGUGGGUGGCUGUGGCGCAGCUUCUAAUCGCCAACAAACUAUUGUUGUCUACCUGGAGAGGUACGACAUUCUGUACAUUAUGUCUUACAAUGGUAAGGAACAAUCAGGAAAACCAGAUGUAGAUUCUUCAUGCAAGGUGGAGCUGGGGGAGAAAUUCUCCCCCAUCAGCCGGCCUGGAGCAUGAUUCCCCCACUAGGCAUCAUCUGUAUGUUUGGUUUACAACGAACGGCGACCCUACCAAAAAAUUGGCUGGCCCAUCAGAUUUGGUCAUUGCUUGGAUCAAUGCCAUAUAUUUGGCGUGCCCAGCCCGCCCAGGUCGCUCCCAUGUAAUUUUGCCAAAUCGUGGGCUCGCCAGGGCGCAGAAAAUGCUCGCCAAAAAAUUGGCAGCGUUGCCCUCACAAUGCAAUUAAUGUGGUGGUUAAAUGGCUGGGCAAAUCAUGCACGUAUGUUGUACCUACCUGACUUUUGGAUCAAUUAAUCCUGUGUCGGCCGGUGACCAAUCCUGCUUAGCACAACCGAAUAACAACCCAAACGUACCGAACACUAGUAUUCCCCAAAUUAUCCCAGUUUCAGCAAGAGACUGUGGAUUGAAAUGCUAUACUAUGGUGACAACUUUCUCUUAGUUCAGUAAAGGAAAACAAGACCCUCUGGAUGCCAGCAUUCUUUCCACAGACAUAUGUGAUGCGCAUGUGUACUUUUACACGCCCGUUUUUCAUGUGGCACAUUUUGGUUAAUUAAGUGUGUUUUAAAUAUGUGUCCCUUCUUUUUAAUUAAAACAAAAUUGCAAGCAAACCAAACAAUGAUCAAUCCUAGUUGUCAAAGUUCAUAGUGUGCCACGUUAGUUGGCUGUAAACCAAAUGGAGGCUCACUGAUUUUGCCAAAAACAUUGGCAAGUAUAUUGGCUCUAAACCAAACACGAUCAACUUAACAAAAAAUUGGUCAUGCCCUAGCUUUGGUCAGGCUAAAAUUUUGGUGGGGCUAGUUGGGGCACAAACCAAACACACCCGAUACCCUGAGGUUCUACGGCAACAUGCCAGGGUGUGGUGAAAAUGUCCUGCAGAAGUAAAGUCUUCAAACUGAAUUCAUUAAAACUGCUUUACCUUCAUGGGUGUUUUGUCAUGUAUUGAUGCUCUGCCACACUGAAUUUGCUGUCAGGAAAUGGUUCAGUCACUUCUAUCCGCUAGCUACAGUGGCAUCGUGCCAGGACCUGAAGGAUGAGCUGACUCUUGGUGGUGAGUUGACGAUAACUGCCCAGAGAUGCAUACAACGCAUGUUGAGUGCAAAGAAAAUGAAGAUGUACCGGGGCUGGCUAGCAAGCUGGAAAGUGUUUUCUGAUCCCUGCUUUGUGGGGGAACUUUGCAAGCCGGACAAUGAAGUGGGCUGGGAUACAUCGAGAUGAUGAUGAACUAAGAACUGAUGGGAUACAGAAUUGAUUGGUUGAGGAAGUUCAUGUUCCUGGUUACCUUCAUGGAUUGCUGGUCAUUGUACAUUCUCGAUACAGAGAGGAAGCCAGUCAUGGUCCUUGAUCCAACUGAGAUAGAUCCAGCGGAUGAGAUGAGGAGGAAGCAUGAGGUUUGGGCUAGGAAGUUCCAGCUCAAAUUCUGCAAGUGAUUGAACGACAUGUUUGAUGUUGGGUUGGUGGAUACUACUGGAUGGAAUUUUUUGUACGUCUUAGUGGCGCAGCAUGAACCAUGCACGAGGGAGGACAGCGGUGUGUACAUCGUGCACUACUUCCUUGAAUUUACCAGGCUCUACCUUCAUUCACCGCUCAGCCAGGCGCAGCUAGAUGACCCGUGGAGAAAAUUGCCUACGAACUUCUGACCAUGAAGGGGGAACAAGGGAGAUCUUCCAGGUUUCCUAUGCGAGGAGAUAGUUGACUGAUGGGAAUGAGUCGUGGUUCAAAAAUUGCGCGGGUUGUUCAGAUCUUUUGUCCAUGUGACGCAUGUGCUUUGACCAUGCAAGUACCCCCUUAUGUCUCCGGGGCUUUUGGAGGCACGCGAACCCCUUCUUAAUAUUUGAUUUCGUAUGGAACUUAUGUCAAUUUGUACUUAUAAAAUACCUAGUAAGUAGAUUGAGUAGAACUACUUGUGUGCAUUGAUGUGAGAUGCCAGACACAUCAUGUGGCUGUUAGCAGCAAAAACCUGGCUUAGUACUUGAAAUG
This is a long non-coding RNA of Triticum dicoccoides, 2733 nucleotides long. RefSeq lists it as uncharacterized. The transcript is spliced from 7 exons. The record is from RefSeq and is a predicted model, not a curated record. Lineage: Eukaryota; Viridiplantae; Streptophyta; Magnoliopsida; Poales; Poaceae.